This 595-nucleotide ribosomal RNA is filed under the name Clostridium sp. TU 103. RNAcentral describes it as "partial 16S ribosomal RNA". It matches the Rfam family "Bacterial small subunit ribosomal RNA", at positions 817 to 1416 of the family's 1533-position model. Lineage: Bacteria; Bacillati; Bacillota; Clostridia; Eubacteriales; Clostridiaceae. The record is from RNAcentral.
UAGGUGUAGGGGUUGUCAUGACCUCUGUGCCGCCGCUAACGCAUUAAGUAUUCCGCCUGGGGAGUACGGUCGCAAGAUUAAAACUCAAAGGAAUUGACGGGGGCCCNCACAAGCAGCGGAGCAUGUGGUUUAAUUCGAAGCAACNCGAAGAACCUUACCUAGACUUGACAUCUCCUGAAUUACCCUUAAUCGGGGAAGCCCUUCGGGGNAGGAAGACAGGUGGUGCAUGGUUGUCGUCAGCUCGUGUCGUGAGAUGUUGGGUUAAGUCCCGCAACGAGCGCAACCCUUAUUGUUAGUUGCUACCAUUUAGUUGAGCACUCUAGCGAGACUGCCCGGGUUAACCGGGAGGAAGGUGGGGAUGACGUCAAAUCAUCAUGCCCCUUAUGUCUAGGGCUACACACGUGCUACAAUGGCUGGUACAGAGAGAUGNUAAACCGUGAGGUGGAGCCAAACUUUAAAACCAGUCUCAGUUCGGAUUGUAGGCUGAAACUCGCCUACAUGAAGCUGGAGUUGCUAGUAAUCGCGAAUCAGAAUGUCGCGGUGAAUACGUUCCCGGGCCUUGUACACACCGCCCGUCACANNNNNNNNNUUGGCA